This 1012-nucleotide ribosomal RNA is filed under the name Astrocystis mirabilis. RNAcentral describes it as "SSU rRNA". It matches the Rfam family "Eukaryotic small subunit ribosomal RNA", at positions 79 to 1105 of the family's 1831-position model. Lineage: Eukaryota; Fungi; Ascomycota; Sordariomycetes; Xylariales; Xylariaceae. The record is from RNAcentral.
CGGCGAAACUGCGAAUGGCUCAUUAAAUCAGUUAUUGUUUAUUUGAUAGUACCUUACUACAUGGAUAACCGUGGUAAUUCUAGAGCUAAUACAUGCUAAAAAUCCCGACUCACGGAGGGAUGUAUUUAUUAGAUUAAAAACCAAUGCCCCUCGGGGCUUUCUGGUGAUUCAUAAUAACUUCUCGAAUCGCAUGGCCUUGCGCCGGCGAUGGUUCAUUCAAAUUUCUGCCCUAUCAACUUUCGAUGGCAGGGUCUUGGCCUGCCAUGGUUACAACGGGUAACGGAGGGUUAGGGCUCGACCCCGGAGAAGGAGCCUGAGAAACGGCUACUACAUUCAAGGAAGGCAGCAGGCGCGCAAAUUACCCAAUCCCGACACGGGGAGGUAGUGACAAUAAAUACUGAUACAGGGCUCUUUUGGGUCUUGUAAUUGGAAUGAGUACAAUUUAAAUCCUUAACGAGGAACAAUUGGAGGGCAAGUCUGGUGCCAGCAGCCGCGGUAAUUCAGCUUCAAUAGCGUAUAUUAAAGUUGGUGCAGUUAAAAGCUCGUAGUUGAACCUUGGGCCUGGCUGGCCGGUCGCCUCAACGCGUGCACUGGUUCGGCCGGGCCUUUCCCUUUGGGGAGCCCUAUGCCCUUCACUGGGUGUAGUGGGGAACCAGGACUUUUACUGUGAAAAAAUUAGAGUGUUCAAAGCAGGCCUAUGCUCGAAUACAUCAGCAUGGAAUAAUAGAAUAGGACGUGUGGUUCUAUUUUGUUGGUUUCUAGGACCGCCGUAAUGAUUAAUAGGGACAGUCGGGGGCAUCAGUAUUCAAUUGUCAGAGGUGAAAUUCUUGGAUUUAUUGAAGACUAACUACUGCGAAAGCAUUUGCCAAGGAUGUUUUCAUUAAUCAGGAACGAAAGUUAGGGGAUCGAAGACGAUCAGAUACCGUCGUAGUCUUAACCAUAAACUAUGCCGACUAGGGAUCGGACGAUGUUAUUUUUUGACUCGUUCGGCACCUUACGAGAAAUCAAAGUC